AUACGGAGGGUGCAAGAGUUAUCCGGAUUCAUUGGGUUUAAAGGGUACGUAGGCGGAUAGAUAAGUUAGUGGUGAAAUCCCGAAGCUCAACUUCGGAACUGCCAUUAAAACUGUCUAUCUCGAAUUUGGUUGAAGUGGGCGGAAUAUGACAUGUAGCGGUGAAAUGCAUAGAUAUGUCAUGGAACACCAAUAGUGAAGACAGCUCACUAAGCCAAUAUUGACGCUGAGGUACGAAAGCAUGGGUAGCGAACAGGAUUAGAAACCCCGGUAGUCC
This 274-nucleotide ribosomal RNA is filed under the name uncultured bacterium. Its description in RNAcentral is "partial 16S ribosomal RNA". It matches the Rfam family "Bacterial small subunit ribosomal RNA", at positions 523 to 796 of the family's 1533-position model. The record is from RNAcentral.